GUGGACGUAGCUCAGUCGGUAGAGCACCUGAUUGUGGUUCAGGAGGUCGCGGGUUCGAAACCCGUCGUCCACCCCG
This 76-nucleotide transfer RNA is filed under the name Bifidobacterium tibiigranuli. RNAcentral describes it as "Bifidobacterium sp. TMW22057 tRNA-His". It matches the Rfam family "tRNA". Rfam says of the family: Transfer RNA (tRNA) molecules are approximately 80 nucleotides in length. The record is from RNAcentral. Lineage: Bacteria; Bacillati; Actinomycetota; Actinomycetes; Bifidobacteriales; Bifidobacteriaceae.